Molecule: long non-coding RNA, 1345 nt
Organism: Solanum lycopersicum (tomato)
Lineage: Eukaryota; Viridiplantae; Streptophyta; Magnoliopsida; Solanales; Solanaceae
Source: RefSeq, a predicted model, not a curated record
GUAUCAAUGUUUUGAGGCCUUUCAGAAAGGAAAAGCUCCGUGGUAGUGAUUUUCAGAGCGCGCGUGAUCUGCCUUCAGGUCCGAGCACCACUAGCUAGCGUUGAUCGAGUUUGGAGCAUUUCUGGUCUGGAGACAGGGCAUUAUUGUCAUGCGAUCGAGAGAAACUUUAUUGUAAUCUUUUGGGAUUUCAUCAGUUGAGUGUCUUUUUUUCCCAAGAAUCAUAUUUAUUGGCUUCGACCAAGGAAAGGAAAGGAGAUACUUAGUUCGGGAGCAGGAGAUUAGUCAAAUAUGUUCGAGAGGUUCUGUAUCGUUGGGAUUAUUUUGUUCUACUUUACUAAUUAGGAGCAUUUUGACAGUUGAAAGGUACUUUCGUCGUCAAUGGAAAAUAGUAAAGGAAAGGCUAAUUUUCUUGGGUGCAGGUAAUGACUUCAAUUUUGAUUUGCUUAAUGAACCAAGUCAACUAGUAUAUUAGAUUUUGUGCUUAAUAAUUAUCUCAACAUUGAGCUUGUUCCUAAGAUUGAAUUAUACAUAUUAUCUCGUCUGUUGGAUUAUAUUACUAAAUUAUUUUCCAUCAGUUGAAGAAGAAAAACACUAGUUUCAAAGACUCGGAAAAAAGCUCAUUAGAAAAGCUUGGUUCAUUAUAAGUUCCUUCCAACCCUCUCCAAGUGUACCAUAGAAGACGUAACAAGUGUGAAAAAGUUGAGCCAUUCAUUGAAAGGCAUAACAAGCCUGUCCAGACAAAUGUUUUACUACGAAUGUCGUUCCACUUGCAUCUUUUCUGUUUCUAAUCCAAACUAUGCUACAAACUAUACAUUAUAGGUGUACAAUCGACGAUUUAAAAAUAAUUAGAUACAUAACAACUGCAAAACAGCUUUACCAUACUUUCAGGAAUUGCAGAACAUGAAGCGGCAAACACCAAAAGUUUCUACUACCGAAGUCCAGGGAAGGCUGCCAGCCUUUGCGUUCACAAGAAACCAAGGCUUCAAGCAUCUAGCAGUAAAAAUGGACUCAUAGUGAAACAUAAAAGAAUCCUGAAAUCAAUCACAAGAAGAAAGAUGCACAAGUUUCAAACGAUGAAACACCUAGUGACAAAGAAAAUGAUCUUGAGAACAAAUGUAAUCCUUGAUGAGGAGGCAAUACAAGAAUGGAAAUCUCUGAUAGGAAAACCGGAACAUGAAGGCUGCAAAUCUGAAAAAUGUGAUGAAAGAUGGGGAGUAGAGAGGACAUUGUUCCACGGACGGGUGUUAUUAUUCAUUUCUCGCAUGCAUCUUAUCCAAGGUAUUAUAUUAUGCUUGUAUUCAUUAAACUCAGUAUCGAAAUGUGAUCUAGAUAUUUUAUUGUAUGC